GAUGAACGCUGACGGCGUGCCUAAUACAUGCAAGUCGAGCGAACGGACGAGAAGCUUGCUUCUCUGAUGUUAGCGGCGGACGGGUGAGUAACACGUGGAUAACCUACCUAUAAGACUGGGAUAACUUCGGGAAACCUGAGCUAAUACCGGAUAAUAUUUUGAACCGCAUGGUUCAAAAGUGAAAGACGGUCUUGCUGUCACUUAUAGAUGGAUCCGCGCUGCAUUAGCUAGUUGGUAAGGUAACGGCUUACCAAGGCAACGAUGCAUAGCCGACCUGAGAGGGUGAUCGGCCACACUGGAACUGAGACACGGUCCAGACUCCUACGGGAGGCAGCAGUAGGGAAUCUUCCGCAAUGGGCGAAAGCCUGACGGAGCAACGCCGCGUGAGUGAUGAAGGUCUUCGGAUCGUAAAACUCUGUUAUUAGGGAAGAACAUAUGUGUAAGUAACUGUGCACAUCUUGACGGUACCUAAUCAGAAAGCCACGGCUAACUACGUG
This 497-nucleotide ribosomal RNA is filed under the name uncultured bacterium. RNAcentral describes it as "partial 16S ribosomal RNA". It matches the Rfam family "Bacterial small subunit ribosomal RNA", at positions 28 to 507 of the family's 1533-position model. The record is from RNAcentral.